CCCCGGCUGGACCCCCCGCCCGCCUGCCGCCGCCGCCCGUGGGCGCCCCCAGGUCCUGCGGCCCCCAGCCCCCGCCACCCCGGCGCCAGCCCCUCUCACCCUUUCAUUCUCUGCCCGGGGCCUGACGCGGGCCGGCGGAUCCCCGGCCUCACGUAAGCGCGCUCGCCGCCCGCCCUGCCUGCGCGGCCCUGCCCGCCGCCCUACGGGAGCCCGGGGAUGUGGGCCGGGCCUGGGGCCGCCUCUGCUUACCUUUCAGCUGCUUUUUUUUUUUUCUCCUUCCCCCCUUUUCCCUCGGCCGGGCUGACAGAUCAGAGUGAGAGGCGCUGGCAAUGGACUAGGAAGCUCGGCUGCCGCUGCUACUGCUCCCCCCUGGGCUCCGGCGAGAGCCUUUCCCUGUCAAGCAAGAGGGGCUAAUAAUGAUUCUUCUCCGUUGCGGAUCGGAUCCAAGUUCUGUGUCUGGUGGUCAGUUUAUAAAUUUGUACUUCAAGAGACUUCAUAGCCACUGUAUCUUAUAUUGGUCUAUGGAUAUGUUUUUACAUGCAUAUUUGCAAGUCGCUUUCUAUAUAAAAAUUUGUAUUAUAUAUUCCACUCAAAACUGAGAUUGCCAAAAGACAAUUGUUAAGGGAUGUCUUUUGUCUCCUUGUCUCAAAGCUAUGUAAAUAAAACCUGACUGUCCAGAAAGGCAUGAUCCAGCUGUUUAUUUUUCACAGUGCCAAUAAAGGCAGAGAUCACUGAGAGGUUAAAUACAAUUUAAGUAUAACUGAGCACAUUUCUGAGAAUAAUCCUCAUUCUGUUAUGGUCUACCCAUGAAGAAAGGUUACUGUAAAACUGGAAAUAGACUUGAAAAGACAGCUUUAGAUUUUCUUUAAAAUUGCUUAUUGAGGAAAUGUGAUUAUUCUACCCAGAUAUUUGAUUUUCUCAUUAGAUUCUUUAGGGGUUAGAUCUUUGGCGCAUCGCACAUGUUGCUGUCCACUUUCUGUGUCACAGAGUGGAAAAAUGUGUGUUUUUGUUAGAGUUGAUAUGUUGUUGGUUCUUAACUUCCAGUGUGCUGCCAGCUGUAUAAAUCACUUUUAAUAUAUUGCAGUGGUUGUCACAGAUCUACUUUUUUUAAAUGAGCACAGCUUAGUGGAUAAAUGGGAUCAAAGUUACCCAAAGCUGAGGUAGCACCGAGAUCAGAGAAGGGUACC
RNAcentral lists this long non-coding RNA (1187 nucleotides) under Lynx canadensis (Canada lynx). Its description in RNAcentral is "lncRNA (ENSLCNG00005016087.1)". Lineage: Eukaryota; Metazoa; Chordata; Mammalia; Carnivora; Felidae. The record is from RNAcentral.